Molecule: transfer RNA, 84 nt
Filed under: bacterium
Lineage: Bacteria
Also listed under: 1 other name
Description: tRNA-Leu
Rfam family: tRNA
About the family: Transfer RNA (tRNA) molecules are approximately 80 nucleotides in length. Their secondary structure includes four short double-helical elements and three loops (D, anti-codon, and T loops). Further hydrogen bonds mediate the characteristic L-shaped molecular structure. tRNAs have two regions of fundamental functional importance: the anti-codon, which is responsible for specific mRNA codon recognition, and the 3' end, to which the tRNAs corresponding amino acid is attached (by aminoacyl-tRNA synthetases). tRNAs cope with the degeneracy of the genetic code in two manners: having more than one tRNA (with a specific anti-codon) for a particular amino acid; and 'wobble' base-pairing, i.e. permitting non-standard base-pairing at the 3rd anti-codon position.
Source: RNAcentral
GCCUCGGUGGCGGAACUGGUAGACGCGCACGACUCAAAAUCGUGUGAGAGCAAUCUCAUGAGAGUUCAAGUCUCUCCCGAGGUA